RNAcentral lists this ribosomal RNA (564 nucleotides) under uncultured Glomeromycotina. Its description in RNAcentral is "SSU rRNA". It matches the Rfam family "Eukaryotic small subunit ribosomal RNA", at positions 548 to 1114 of the family's 1831-position model. Lineage: Eukaryota; Fungi; Glomeromycota. The record is from RNAcentral.
UUGGAGGGCAAGUCUGGUGCCAGCAGCCGCGGUAAUUCCAGCUCCAAUAGCGUAUAUUAAAGUUGUUGCAGUUAAAAAGCUCGUAGUUGAAUUUCGGGAUCAGAGUGUCGGUCGUGCCUCGGUACGUACUGGUAUUAUUGGUUCCUACCUUCUGAAGAACCGCGAUGUCAUUAAUUUGGUGUCGUGGGGAAUCAGGACUGUUACUUUGAAAAAAUUAGGGUGUUUAAAGCAGGCUUACGCUUGAAUACAUUAGCAUGGAAUAAUGAAAUAGGACGUUUGAUUCUAUUUUGUUGGUUUCUAGGAUUGACGUAAUGAUUAAUAGGGAUAGUUGGGGGCAUUAGUAUUCAAUUGUCAGAGGUGAAAUUCUUGGAUUUAUUGAAGACUAACUACUGCGAAAGCAUUUGCCAAGGAUGUUUUCAUUAAUCAAGAACGAAAGUUAGGGGAUCGAAGACGAUCAGAUACCGUCGUAGUCUUAACCAUAAACUAUGCCGACUAGGGAUCGGAUGAUGUUAAUUUUUUAAUGACUCAUUCGGCGCCUUACGGGAAACCAAAGUGUUUGGGUUC